RNAcentral lists this ribosomal RNA (497 nucleotides) under uncultured bacterium. RNAcentral describes it as "partial 16S ribosomal RNA". It matches the Rfam family "Bacterial small subunit ribosomal RNA", at positions 28 to 507 of the family's 1533-position model. The record is from RNAcentral.
GACGAACGCUGGCGGCGUGCCUAAUACAUGCAAGUUGAGCGCUGAAGGUUGGUACUUGUACCGACUGGAUGAGCAGCGAACGGGUGAGUAACGCGUGGGGAAUCUGCCUUUGAGCGGGGGACAACAUUUGGAAACGAAUACUAAUACCGCAUAAAAACUUUAAACACAAGCUUUAAGUUUGAAAGAUGCAAUUGCAUCACUCAAAGAUGAUCCCGCGUUGUAUUAGCUAGUUGGUGAGGUAAAGGCUCACCAAGGCGAUGAUACAUAGCCGACCUGAGAGGGUGAUCGGCCACAUUGGGACUGAGACACGGCCCAAACUCCUACGGGAGGCAGCAGUAGGGAAUCUUCGGCAAUGGACGAAAGUCUGACCGAGCAACGCCGCGUGAGUGAAGAAGGUUUUCGGAUCGUAAAACUCUGUUGGUAGAGAAGAACGUUGGUGAGAGUGGAAAGCUCAUCAAGUGACGGUAACUACCCAGAAAGGGACGGCUAACUACGUG